This 74-nucleotide transfer RNA is filed under the name uncultured Choricystis. RNAcentral describes it as "tRNA-Ile". It matches the Rfam family "tRNA". From Rfam's summary of the family: Transfer RNA (tRNA) molecules are approximately 80 nucleotides in length. Their secondary structure includes four short double-helical elements and three loops (D, anti-codon, and T loops). The record is from RNAcentral. Lineage: Eukaryota; Viridiplantae; Chlorophyta; Trebouxiophyceae.
GGGCCGUUAGCUCAGCUGGUUAGAGCGCGCCCCUGAUAAGGGCGAGGUCGGUGGUUCAAGUCCACUACGGCCCA